AUUGAACGCUGGCGGCAUGCCUUACACAUGCAAGUCGAACGGUAACGCGGGGCAACCUGGCGACGAGUGGCGAACGGGUGAGUAAUGCAUCGGAACGUGCCCAGUAGUGGGGGAUAGCCCGGCGAAAGCCGGAUUAAUACCGCAUACGACCUACGGGUGAAAGCGGGGGACCGUAAGGCCUCGCGCUAUUGGAGCGGCCGAUGUCAGAUUAGGUUGUUGGUGGGGUAAAAGCCUACCAAGCCGACGAUCUGUAGCUGGUCUGAGAGGACGAUCAGCCACACUGGGACUGAGACACGGCCCAGACUCCUACGGGAGGCAGCAGUGGGGAAUUUUGGACAAUGGGGGCAACCCUGAUCCAGCCAUGCCGCGUGCGGGAAGAAGGCCUUCGGGUUGUAAACCGCUUUUGUCAGGGAAGAAACGCUCUGGGCUAAUACCCCGGGGUAAUGACGGUUCCUGAAGAAUAAGCACCGGCUAACUACGUGCCAGCAGCCGCCGUAA
This 498-nucleotide ribosomal RNA is filed under the name uncultured bacterium. RNAcentral describes it as "partial 16S ribosomal RNA". It matches the Rfam family "Bacterial small subunit ribosomal RNA", at positions 29 to 523 of the family's 1533-position model. The record is from RNAcentral.